Long non-coding RNA from Papaver somniferum (opium poppy), 223 nucleotides. RefSeq lists it as uncharacterized. The transcript has 3 exons. Lineage: Eukaryota; Viridiplantae; Streptophyta; Magnoliopsida; Ranunculales; Papaveraceae. The record is from RefSeq and is a predicted model, not a curated record.
GUAGAACCACCACUUUGAUCUUUUAAACCACCUCCAUCAAGAGCACCACCACCUCCUUGGCUCUAUCUAGUUUUGGUUGAGUUGAGGGGAGGAACUCAAGAAGGAGUCUGAAAGCUAUUAUCAUUCAGUUUGAGUUAAGGGAAGGAAGGAGUCUGAUUACAGGGUAAUGAUUGGAUCAAGUUCAGUUUCAUUAUCAAGCUGCAAGAUGGCAAGUGCAUCUCCC